Molecule: long non-coding RNA, 1928 nt
Organism: Lytechinus pictus (painted urchin)
Lineage: Eukaryota; Metazoa; Echinodermata; Echinoidea; Temnopleuroida; Toxopneustidae
Exons: 2
Source: RefSeq, a predicted model, not a curated record
GUUUCAUAUAGAAGCCUGCAGGUGAUGUUAGAGAGCUAUGAAGGCAGAGAUACGGAACACCUUCUGCAAUGGUGGGAUAAAUCUACGGAGGAGGAAACUCGCCCUGAAGCUGAGGAAUCAUUGUGAUUAUGCCUCAAUUCGACAAGUUUAUGCCUCAAAUCGUUCCCUGGAAUAAAAAUUAUAAAAGAGAAUGUCAUAUUGACUACUAAUUGUUAUCGUAGUCCUGUCAGCAUGGUCAGAGACGGAGAUUUUUUUUCUUGUAUAAGGGGGCAGAAAACACCAGAACAACUUUUUGAAUUGGAAUAAAAAUCGAUUUAAGCCUUGGAUAUGCAACUAAUAAGUAAAAUGCGCAAAUAUUCCAACUUUUUUCCCUGUAGGGCUUUUUUUUUACAUCAUAGAUUCGCCAAAGCGUAAUUGCGAAUUGCGUGGAAAUAUGCCCUCCUCCAUCUUUGAAUUCGCUAAGUGAAUUCAAAAACACAAAUGAAAUAAAAUAUUAAUAAAGUUGUGUUUGUUUUUUUGUUAAUUUAUUUUUACCCGAUAUACGCUCAGCUUUUUAAGUAUUUACUUUUUAAUUUUCUGUUAGAAGAAAUGUAUACGAGAUAUAUUAAUUUCUUAAUCAUGCGAUGUUUCGACAUAAUUCCCAAUAGAUUUCAUUAGAAAAAAAAACAAAUUUAAGGUAAAUGAUUUUGUAUUUUGUUUAUAUUGGUUACGGAUACACGAAUCAGUCAGUAUUCAAACUUUUUUUUAAUGAAUUCAUAUUGUUUUAUUUGCUAUAAUAUUGAUUGACCACAGCUCACAUUAGGGUGGACCUGGCCUUGAAAUCAAUCAUUAAAUCAUUGAAAUCACGAUAAGAUUGGAAAGCAGUUUGUUAAAUGCUACAUUAAUUUUGUACAUGCUUAAUUAUUUCAAGCUUUGCUUUUCCAUUUUCAAUCAAUAAAUAGCGUUCGCUUAUCAAGUUUGUGCAAUAGAAUGUUUUUUUUACUCUGUUUGUUAGAAAAUGGAAAGGAAAAAUUAAUUUCCUAAUUAGUUCAAAUGCAUUGAUUGAUUGAUUUUUGUUAUCUAUUGGAUUGAAAAAAAUAUAUAUUUGUAUAUUAGAGCAAUAUAUUAAUAGAACCAAAGGGGUCUUCUUUAUUAUAGGAAUAUCGUCAUCAUCAACAUCAUCAUCAUCAUCACCAUCAUAACCUUUAUCACUGUUGUUGUCGUCAUCAUUACCGUCAUCGUUGUCAUGUCAUCAUCAUUUGAAUGAUUUUAUUUUAUUUCAUUUUCUAAUUUCAACUUAAGUACAUUCCGUUGGUAUUCAAAACGUUUGAAAGGAAUAGGUGAAUUUAGGUGAUAGCCUACUAAAAUAUCAAUGAGGACCCCGAUGGACCCCCAUGCAGGGGCCGCGGAACCGGGGGGGGGGGGGCUGGGGGGGCUUCAGCCCCCCCCCCCCCCCACUUUUUUCCAAAACCGUGUACAAAAACGUAAAAAUGACCAUAUGAUUGUGAUUUUUAGCAUGGUCAGCCCCCCCCUCCACUUUUGGCUCAGCCCCCCCACUUUGAAAACCGUUCCGCGGCCCCUGCCAUGGACUCAUGUCUUAUGGAACACUCUCUCAAUAACUCAUUGACAAAUUUUGGCAUUGUCUAUUCUAUGAAGAGGGUAAAAUCGAGAUUUAAAAAAUCAUGUUGUGCUUGUAGUCGUGUUAAUUUCGUUUGAGAGCUAUGUAUGAUAAUGAUAGUAAGCAAAAAACAAACACAAACCCAUUCCCUUAACAAACUGUGUUCAAAGAAAAACGAUUUUUUUUCUUGAAUAUAAUAUCAUGUAUUAUAUAAUAAUACAUACAGGCCCCGAAACCGGUCCCAUAAUGGGCCCCAUUGCACACUGUUAAUUUGUAUUUAAUUUGUCUGUUUUAAUUUAAAAUGAAUAAAACUUUUUAUAAUUUAAAGGUA